Grammomys surdaster is the source of this 137-nucleotide long non-coding RNA. RefSeq lists it as uncharacterized. The transcript has 3 exons. NCBI's taxonomy places the organism in Eukaryota, Metazoa, Chordata, Mammalia, Rodentia, Muridae. The record is from RefSeq and is a predicted model, not a curated record.
GCCUCCUAAAUGCACUGUUUUUAAAAGAUUAAGGAAUUAAUAGAUGUUACAGCUGCUGUCCUUAGCAAUUACUGUAAAUUGGUUACAGCCUUUAAAAAAAUCCACUCACCGUCAAUGCAGGACACAGUAAACACUGG